UUGAGAGUCCCUGCUUAAGCUUGAAUAAACGACCCUCAUGUGCUUACAUCGGAAAUGGCCUCCUGGUGGUCUUUGGGACCUUGCAAUCUGGGCACAACACCAGCCACAGUAAGAUACUACUUUACUCCAACUAGAAGAGCUAUUGCCAAGAAGACAAUAGUAAAUGCUGAUCAAGAUAUAGAGAAAAGGGCAGCCUUCUAUGCUGUUGUUAGAAAUGUAAACUAGUACAACCACUGAGGAGAACAGAUUGAGGUUCCUCAAAAAAUUAAAAGUAGAGUUACCUUAUGACCCAGCGAUCCCACUACUGAGUAUAUAUCUGUGGAGAACACUUUGAAAUAAGAUGGAAUUGUAUAACCCUAAGUGUGCUGUAACCCUAAGUGUGCUGUAACCCUAAAGUGUGCUGUGACUUUAAGAGCGCUGUAACCUAAGUAUGACAUAAUCAUAAGAGUGAUGAAAGUAGAAUCUUAAGUGGUAUGGAACUGAUAAGGGUGUGCCCUGAACUGGACAAGGAGUACCCCCGAACUGGACAGGGUGCGCCCUGAAAUGGACAGUGUGAUAAGUCUGAACCAAUACCACAAGCGCCCAGUUAGAAUAGUAUAAAAGGAGCUGAAGACCCCAAGCAAGUCGACGAUCCAUCCACCGACCAGUCGACCAGUCAAUCUGCUGAUCUGAUUACCAACCGAGACAUCUGCACACCUGAUCCCACUGGAAGGAGCGUCUCCGCCGACCAGACGGGACCAGAGGAUGAGGCAAGCAGAGAGACGGAUAGCCUAACUCCGACUCGACGCCCUUCUUCUACGGAUCGGACCCUCUGACCCUACGGGAGGAAACGUCGCGCUCCCAUAAGGACUUGCGCAGUACAGGUACAGGGACGUGGUAAUUGGCAGACUUAAUAUUGUGUGGUAAUUGUAUUGAAGUGAAUUAUGAUAAGUGUGUGAACUGCCGUCCGUGUCCGAGUCCUCUUUACCCACGGUACCUGCUCACGACAAUAGCCAAAGGGAAUGAAAUCAGUAUGUAGAAAAGGCAUUUUCCCUCCAUGUUUAUUGUACCACCAUUUGCAAGAGCCACAAAGUGGAAACAACUGCAGAGUCCAACAGAUAAUGCAUAAGAAAAAGUGGUAUCACGAUGGUAUGUGAUUCAGCUAUAAAGCAUUAAAUUCUGCCAUUUAUGACAACGUGGAUGGAGUGGGAGAUCAUUUUGCUAAGCCAAGCACAGGUAGAAAAGUACUAUGUGAUCUUAUUCAUAUGUGGAAGCUAAAAAUGCUGACCUCACAGGAACAUAGGGAAAUGGCUAGAGGCAGCCAAGAGUGGAGGAGGGAGGAGUGGCAAAGGCUGGCCCACAAGAACUGAGGGACAGUUGUACAAAAGUAAGAGCUCUGCUAUGCCACUGCACAGAAGAGUUACUAUGGGAGACAUUCAUCUGCUGAACACUUUGCUUUCCAAGUGAUGGGUGCAGUUACUGUUCCUCCUGUUGCCUCCUGCAGAGGCACAGUCUUCUAUCAAAGUCCCUAUUUCCUGGACAGGAUUCCAGAUGCUGCAGCCUGUUUGACUCCCAGGAUAUAAUCCAGGAAAGAAUGGUGGGAGACUUGAUGAAUAUGAACAAGAAGGGUGAACCCUAGAAGGAAAGUCCUCAACAGGUGAGAAGGACAAUGACUGGUGCACACGCAGAGAGCACAGCCUGAGAAAGGGCUCUCAACAACAGAGACAAAGGCACAAAACAUUUCUUCUCCCAGCACUGAAGAGUUCUGCAGGAGACUGGCCACAUCUGUAAUGAGGGCAUCCCGGACGGCUUGGAGCUGAGCCAGGCUCUCCAGCCAUAGGAGGGGAGGCCAGAAGGCCAAGAUGCAGAAGGUGCAGCACUGAUGAGCUGACUCCAGCAGGUACUGAAGGCUUGGGCUGUGCAAGGUACUCUAAGUCAUGAGAACAAGUGCUCAGCAAGCAAGGCCUUACUUAAUCAAGAAAACCCUUAGUUUUCCAAAAUUUCCCUUUAAAGGAAUGCUGCAACACUUUCUCCUUCCCAUUCCUGUCUUCCUUCAUCUAUAGACGCUUUUUUCUCCUUUAAAACCAAACUGCCCCCUCAUCACAUAGGUGCUUUCACUCAGAGAUUCAGGUUUGUAAACUGUUUUUACAGCAUCUUGGAUGUCACCUAGCUUGAGUGGAGCCCAAGGCUGUGUUAAGCCUCAUGCUGGUCCCCUGAGCCUGGACAGCACGCAGGGCCUCCAUCCCUAAGUCUAUGGUGUGAGGACCUUGCAGAAGCUCUUUGCUGUUGGUUUCUGUUAAUCCUUUUCCCCAAACUUUUAAAGUUACAAAGUGCUCACAAAUCACUUAAAACAUAUAGAAAAGUCUAGUAAAUUUGUGAAGUGUUCAUUGAGUCUAGAAUCAAUGUAAUGCCAGACCAAAUAAAACAUACAUUCUGUUGAGGAAAACAUCUUGUUUUCUAUUCUAACUUCAGUAUUUGCAGAAAUUUUACUAAACUUCAAUAAGUUUUGUUGCAAUUUUAGUUUUCUUUUCCUAUCAAAGUGCACAUAGUGUCUAAACUAUGGGUAGAUCAUGAGCCCUGUCAGUAGGUCACCACUAACUAUUCUAGUGCCUCUAAGAUCUGACUUCUAAACUAAAGGUCUACAUUCUUCAUAUUAUUUUGUAAAGAACAUAGUAUGUGUAAAACAUAUUAAUAAAGUAUUAAUAAAGUGCUAUAGAAA
Molecule: long non-coding RNA, 2698 nt
Organism: Heterocephalus glaber (naked mole-rat)
Lineage: Eukaryota; Metazoa; Chordata; Mammalia; Rodentia; Bathyergidae
Source: RefSeq, a predicted model, not a curated record